UCUGUUCCUUGCGUAAUGGGACUUACUCAUCUUAUUGAUCAUAACCUGUUAAUAGGAAAUAAAAUAAUAAGAUUUCUUUAACUAAUUAAUUAUAGAUUCCUUUUUUAAAGGUAUAUAGCAACGAGAUAAUAUUCUUUUUUGGCAUUAAAAUAUAUCAAGAAUAUCUAAUUGAUUCUAAACAAAACAGACUUUAUUGUUAGCAAGAUAUCAGACCCUACAUGUUUAAUCGUCUAAUCCUUGAAACAAUAUUGAUUAUUUGAUUACAGAAACAUUUUCUAAAUGAAGAAAAGAAAUUCAUUGGUUGAUAAAGGUUUAACUGACGCAACUCCAUCUUCUAAGAGGAAGUGUUCUACACCUAAAUCCAGAGUUAUAAGUAAUUUGCAACAACCUAAUUCAUCUGAAAAGCAGACAUCAGUUCCUGUGAAGUCAAUAUUUGGUAGGGUAUUUACAGACAUAACAAAUUUGACUCCUGUGGUGUUAGAAGAGUCUCUUUGUCCUAGAGAGAAAAAUUUAUCAGUAACUGAUACAGGUAAAUCAUUAUAUUGAUCAUUCUGCUAAUUUUUUGAUGUUUACAGUUUUGCUUUAUGUUUUUCUAAAUGUACAAUUUGCUUCUUUAUAAUUGUUUUUUAGGUUCACUAGAUGAGAACUCAUAUCUAACACCUGUUUGUGUUAGACAAUCAUUGUCUUCUCAAGAACCAUACUCUUUAUGCUCGGUUCCAAUUACUGCAUCCAUUCAAUCCUCUCAAUGCCAGGGAUAUAUAAAUUCAACUGGUAUAUUGAUAGUACAUUUUAACAUAUUCUUUUUUUUUUUAUAUAUAAAUCUGACUUAUGUAUUAAAUGUAUCCUAUAAUAUACUGCAGAACUUAGUGAAUGUUUGAUAAAUGAUGGAUCAAAUUUAACAGAUAUACCAAUUAAACAAUCAACCUCAUCACUGGCCAGCAAGGAUUUCCUAAGUUCUAUCAGAUCUGAAGCAAUCAAAUGUGAUCAGUUUUUAUCAACAUAGCUUCAUUUUUUUCAGCUUUGGUUAGAUACUCUUUUUUAUCGUACUCAUAUAAUUACUCAUACACAAUUUUCAGCAACAUUGGCUGAUGAAAAUGUUCAAAACCUUUCAUCAGUCAGAAUAAGUCAAUCUUAUGCUCAACUUGGAGCAGAUACCUUUUUAUCCGACAUAAGAAGAGAAGCUACAAAAAGUAAGUUUUUACUAAAGUUUGGUUUUUGAUAUUGUAUUUUAUUAUUCAGCUUAUUUCACAUAAUAUAUAUGUCCUAAAUCUAUUUGCUUUUUGGUUAGACACCAUCAUUCAGUCUAAUUCAGGAACCCAGACCUUAAAGUCAGCUAAGAAGAGAACACCUAAUAGGGUGUUAGGAGACAUAUCAAACAAACCUGAUAGAAGAAGACGGCAUGAGCCACUUGGGAGCAGUGUAUUAUAUUCUGCACAAAACAAAGAAAAUUAUACACCAAACUGUGAGUAUAUAUUUGAUUUCAUUUGCAAAUAUUAAUAUCAAUAACAAAACCUUUAUAUGACAUUAGACAUAAAUUUACCAUUUUAUGCAAUUUGUACAGUUGAAUAUUCAGAACAGCAACCAAAACAAAGAAAAUCUAAGAAGACUCCAAAUUUGGAAGAUUGUCGUGUAAAUUUAUUUGACUCCACACCAUUUGAAGGUAGUAAUCAUCUUCUAUAUAGUUUAUAUUUGGCUUUGGAUUUUUAAUGUAUACUAAUAAAAAUUUGUUGUCAAACAGAAGAAGAAAUUUCUGAUCUAGAACAGGAAUAUGAUGUGAGUAGUCAAGAAGAUAUGGGUUCUGAUAGCAGUUCUGGAUAUGAAACAGAAUUAUCAGUUGAAACAGAUGAAGUAAUACAUGUUCAGAAUAAGAGGGGAACAUGUAGUAAAGGGAGAAAAGGAAUUAGUCUUAAACGAAGAAAAUAUACUAAAGGAGCAUCUAACCACAUAAAAAGAAAAACAGGUUACUAUUAACCAAACUCAUAUGUCCAUAAUGAAAGUGUUUACAUAUAAAAAAAUUAUUUAUUUGUCUUUAUUUGAUUUCUUUUUCAGAAGCCCUCAUUGACAUUCCUUAUUUAGAUCACGGUGAUACAAAAUGGAAAUGUCAAUACUGUGGUGCUAUGAUGUGGUAUGAUGAGCGUGUUAACAAAAGAAGAAAAAGCAAGAAACCAAAAUUCUCUCUUUGCUGUCUUCAGGGAGCAGUUAAAUUGCCAUUUCUUAAAGAAGCACCUGAGUUAAUUAGAAAAUUGCUGAGUAAGGAUGAUGCACUAAGCAGGCAUUUCCGUGAGAAUAUCAGAGCUUACAACAUGUUAUUCAGUAUGACUUCCCUUGGCGGUAAAGUUGAUAGAUCUAAUCCACAGGGAAAAGGUCCUAACCAGUUCCAACUACAUGGAGCCAAUUAUCAUUUGAUUGGUAGUAUGAUUCCUGGUGAAGGAGAUUAUGCUAAAUUCUCACAGCUUUAUAUUGUUGAUACUGAGAAUGAAGUUGAUAACAGAUCUACUGUCAUGAGGUACCAUAUAUAUUUAAUAUUAUUUAUUACUAAUUUUUAGUUGUGUAUUAUAUUACAUUUUAUGGUAUUUUCACUAAUUUAGCAUCCAUUCAAUUUCUGUGAGUGUAGCAAGGGAAAAUCCAAAGAAAACAAUAGUCAAGAAUCAAGUCAGAAAGGACCUCAUUGCAAAGCUUAUCAAAUUGUUGGAUGAUUGCAAUCCCUACGUUGAAAAUUUCAGGAUGGCAAAAGAUAAGUUGGAUAGUAAUGAUGGUGAACCGUUCUACAUGAAGAAUGUUAGUGAUAGGGUAGGAAAAGAUGGAAGAACUUAUUCCAACCCUACAGCGUCUGAAGUUGCAGCUUUGAUUCCCGGAGAUUUUCGUCCUGAAAUGCCUACACGUGAUAUUAUUGUUCAAGAUAAGAAAACAGGACAGCUUUCAAGAAUAAGCGAAGUUCAUCCUUCUUAUGUCCCAAUGCAAUAUCCUCUCAUAUUUACUUAUGGUGAAGAUGGAUUUAGACGAGGAAUAGAAAAGGGAUAUACAGGCAAGACAGAAAAACAAGCAAACAAGUGUAUAAGUAUGAGGCAGUGGUAUGCUUUCAGAAUACAAGAGAGAUUUGAUGAAGCACAGACACUACUACGUUCAAAGCGUUUGUUCCAACAGUUCUUGGUAGAUGGAUACACAACACUGGAAUCCAACAGGCUGUCCUAUAUUAAGUUUAACCAGUCUAAUCUGAGAUGUGAGAAUUAUUCUACUCUUAAGGCUGCCUCAGAAGCUGGAAACACCAACAUGGGUGAACAAGGUAAAUCAAUACGUAUUCCAUCUUCUUUUACUGGUGGACCUCGCUAUAUGUUGAACAGUUAUUAUGAUGCUAUGGCUACGUGUAAAAUGUAUGGUUUCCCAGACCUGUUUAUAACAUUUACAUGUAACCCCAAGUGGCCAGAAAUAACUAGAUAUUGUAAAGAACGUAGACUUAAUGCGGAUGAUAGACCAGAUGUUGUGUGUCGGAUAUUCAAGAUGAAGCUUGACUCUCUUAUGAAAGAUUUAACAGAAGACCAUCUUCUAGGAAAAACUGUCUCUGGUAAUGAAUUGUUUUGUCUUCUUUAUAUGUUUUAUGUUUGUUUAUUUUAUUGCCUGUUAUUGUACGAAUAUGAGUUUAAAAUGGUUAUUGCUAUUUGCAGCUAUGUACACAGUGGAGUUUCAGAAAAGAGGACUACCACAUGCUCAUAUACUCUUAUUCAUGGAUAAAAGUUGCAAAUUUCCAACAUCUGAUGAUAUUGACAAUAUCAUCUCUGCUGAGAUUCCAGAUAAAGCUAAGGAUCCUAAGUUAUAUGAGGUUGUAAAGGAGUGUAUGAUACAUGGUCCAUGUGGUGCGGCCAACAAAGAUUCACCAUGCAUGGUUGAUGGCAAGUGUUCUAAGUUUUUUCCUAAGAAAUUGGUUGAGCAAACAACAGUUGGUAAAGACGGAUACCCAAUAUAUAGAAGGCGGGAAUCUCAGCACUUUGUUGAAAAAGGUGGUAUUAAGUGUGACAACAGUUAUGUUGUUCCGUAUAAUCGCCUUUUAUCAUUGCGUUAUAGAGCUCACAUCAACGUUGAGUGGUGUAACCAAUCCGGUUCUAUCAAAUACUUAUUUAAGUAUAUUAACAAAGGACAAGAUCGUGUAGCUAUCGUUGUUGAACCUAAGGACAAGAAUACUGAUACGGAGACUGGAUCAGCAACUGGCAGUAAAGAAAAAAGUAAAGAUGAAAUCAAAGAUUACUUCGAUUGCAGGUAUGAUAUAAUAUUCCUUAGUGAAUAUAUCUACUAUAUCAGUUUUAUAUUUUCAGUUUGCAAUAAUUGACAUUUUUUCCCUUAAUAAAUAGGUAUGUUUCAGCUUCUGAAGCUGUUUGGAGGAUAUUCAAAUUUCCCAUCCAGUUUAGGACUACACCUGUGAUGAAGCUUUCUUACCAUCUUCCUGGAAAGCAACCAUUAUUUUUCGAUGGCACCCAGAAUAUUGAUGAACUAUUGGAUAGAAAAGCAAACGAAGAUUCUAUGUUUAUGGCUUAUCUUAAUCUGAAUAAGGAGAAUGAGUUUUCUAGACAGUUCACUUACGCAGAGAUUCCUCAAUAUUUCACUUGGGAUGGACAGAAUAAGCAGUGGAAGCUUAGGGAAAGAGGUUUCUGUAUAGGGAGAAUAAACUAUGCCUCCAUUAAAAUGGAACCAGAAUAUUACAUGAGGAUCCUUCUUGGGAUAGUAACUGGUCCAAAGAGUGAUGAAGAUAUCAGAACAUACAAAGAUGUUGUGUAUGAGACAUACAAGGAGGCAUGUUUGGCACGUGGUAUUCUAACAGACGAUCAAGCUUAUAUUGAUAGUAUAGUGGAAGCAAGCUUAUUUUUCUUUGGAGAUCAUCUUCGUAAUUUCUUUUCUAUGAUGCUUCUGGAUAAAUGUCUUGCAAGACCGGAGUAUGUGUGGGAAAUGUGUUGUGAAAUUUUAACGGAAGACAUCGAAACAAAGAAAAGAAAUCAGUACAACAAUCCAGGUUUGUUGAGAUACAAUUUUUUCCCGUUGGUUUGCUUGCUUUCCGUUUCUGUUAUAAUGAAAUAGUGUUUUUCUUUUUUACUCCAGAUUUAGUAUUAACUGAUGCUGAGAAAAGAAAUUAUGCUCUUCAAGAGAUAGAAGAUUUGUUGUUGUGUAAUGGGAGUACUCUGACAGACUUCAAAGACAUGCCUAAACCUACUCAAGAAGGUAUAGAUCAUUCAAACCAUUUCAUUACAGAAGAGAAAAAUUAUAACUGUGAUAAGUUGCGAGAAGACCAUGAUGAUUGGGUUAAUAAGAUGACUUCUGAGCAAAAAGACAUUUAUGAUGAGAUCAUUGGUGCUGUUUUAGAAAACAGUGGAGGUGUCUUUUUUGUUUAUGGAUUUGGGGGAACCGGUAAAACUUUUAUGUGGAAAACUCUAUUUGCCGCAGUUCGAAUGAGGGGUUUGAUUUCUGUCAAUGUUGCGUCUAGCGGGAUUGCUUCUUUGUUGUUAGAAGGUGGUAGAACUGCACAUUCUAGGUUUGGUAUCCCUAUUCAUCCUGAUGAUUUCACAACAUGUCAUAUCGUGCCUAACUCAGACCUUGCUAAUAUGCUUAAGGAAGCAUCUCUUAUCAUAUGGGAUGAAGCUCCUAUGAUGAGUCGUUAUUGUUUUGAGUCAUUGGAUAGAAGUCUAAAUGAUGUUAUUGGAAAUGUCGAUGGAAAGCCAUUUGGUGGUAAAGUUGUUGUUUUCGGAGGUGAUUUCAGACAAGUACUCCCUGUAAUACAUGGUGCUGGUAGGGCAGAGAUUGUUUUAGCUGCAUUAAAUUCAUCUUAUCUCUGGGAACACUGCAAGGUCCUCACUUUGACAAAGAACAUGCGUCUUAUGGCUAAUGAUUUGGAUAAAGAUGAGGCAGAGAAAAUUAAAGAGUUUUCUGAUUGGCUCUUGGCCGUUGGUGAUGGUAGAGUUUCAGAGCCUAAUGAUGGUGAAGUUCUCAUAGAUAUUCCAGAAGAUUUACUGAUUAAAGAUGUAAAUGAUCCUAUUGAAGCUAUUAUCAAAGCAGUUUACGGAGAAUUGGAUUUGUUGCAGCCUAAUAAUGAUCCUAAAUUCUUUCAAGAGAGAGCUAUAUUGUGUCCAAGAAAUAGUGAUGUCAACACCAUCAACGACAUCAUGCUUGAGAAACUUAAUGGUAAGAUUUACGUUUUAAUACUAUAAUCUUUAACUGUAUAUGUAUAAGAAACUUAUCUAACAAAUUUUCCCUAAACAGGUGAAGCAAUGACUUUUUUAAGUGCAGACGAUAUUGAUCCUCAGGAUGGUGCUUCAUUGAACAAUCCUGUCUUCACACCUGAUUUCCUCAAUAGUAUCAAGCUUUCUGGUUUGCCAAAUCACAGUCUCAGUCUCAAGAUUGGUGCACCGGUUAUGUUACUGAGGAAUAUUGAUCCAAAAAAUGGUCUAUGUAAUGGUACUAGAUUGCAGAUAACGCAGAUGGGUAAUCAUAUACUUGAAGCCAAAGUGAUUACUGGAGAUAGAAUCGGAGACAAAGUGAUAAUCCCUAAAUCUCAGAUAUCACCUUCAGAUACCAAAUUGCCUUUUCGCAUGAGGAGAAGACAGUUUCCAAUAUUUGUGGCUUUUGCAAUGACAAUAAACAAAAGCCAGGGACAAUCACUUAAAGAGGUAGGGAUUUAUCUUCCUAGACCAGUAUUUUCUCAUGGCCAGUUGUAUGUUGCCUUAUCAAGAGUCACUUCCAAAAAAGGUUUGAAAGUUCUUAUUGUGGAUAAAGAAGGAAAAACUCAGAGUCAAACAAUGAAUGUCGUCUUCAAAGAGAUCUUUCAGAACCUAAGGAAUUAGGAUAGUUUUAGUUUUUUUGCUUCUGUUAUUUAACUUUGUAGAUGUUUUGUAUUGUUUUUUAGAACAGCAAGUUCCUUUCCAUAGUCAUUUUAAUCCAAACAUAAUCAGACUCUCUGCAACUACAGUAGUGUAAGUUUAAGAGUUCAUUUCUAGACAACAAAAUCAAGAAACCUUAGUUCAAUUAUAACUCCGAUUGAGACAAACAACAACUUCAAUUUGUGUCUACAACUGAAAAAACAGAUCCAAAACUAACCUUAUAGAAAUGAUUAUUGCUUUAAGUGUUGUCGAUUUGCAAAAUUUGAUCUGCAAAUGGUUUCAUUCAGGUUCUGUUCUUCACUGAUCCCCUCUCCCAGAUUUCUAACAGAAACAAAUUCAUCAUCUCAAGUGCUUUAUCCGAAUCCUAUAUGAAAUCUGAAAAAGGUAAUUGAUCACAGAAUCUAAAUUAUCUUGAAACAAUUCAAUUGAAUUAGAAUGAAGCUUACAAAUUAAGAAGAAUUGGCGCAGAGAACAUGUCUAUUGAUGUGAGCUUAUGAUCUGAUUAUCAGCUUCUUCGGUAUCAUCGGUAAAGCUUAAGCAUGUCAAUGGAUGUUAACUUUCGGUGGAGAACGAGAAUCAUCGUUCUCAUAUGUUUUUUUUUUUU
RNAcentral lists this long non-coding RNA (7461 nucleotides) under Arabidopsis lyrata. Its description in RNAcentral is "long non-coding RNA (ALYR_LNC001001)". The record is from RNAcentral. Lineage: Eukaryota; Viridiplantae; Streptophyta; Magnoliopsida; Brassicales; Brassicaceae.